Molecule: long non-coding RNA, 452 nt
Organism: Lycium ferocissimum
Lineage: Eukaryota; Viridiplantae; Streptophyta; Magnoliopsida; Solanales; Solanaceae
Exons: 2
Source: RefSeq, a predicted model, not a curated record
AGUGAUCCAAAAAAAAUAAUUGUUCUUUCUUCUCCAACCAUAAGUCUCAAGUGAUCAGGUUUAUAUGAUUGAGAAGAGCAUCGGAAGAAACCAAGUGAAAAUAAAGUCAAAAAGAGGUCAAACUGGACAGUACAAAAACCGGACAGUUUUGCAAAUCUGAAAACUUGGGGCUUAUUUUGUUAUUUUUGGACUUGAAAAAAGUUGGGAACUACAAAAGCAAGACAUGGGGCAAACAUUUAUCAUCUUUGGCAUAAAACACAAGUCUUGGAGAGCUAGGGUUCCAACACCCACACUUGGGGAUUGAAGAUUUGAAGUUUUGAUGAGAAAUUUCUUAACCCUUUACUCAUUUGUUCAAUUCCUUGCUAUGUAUUGAAUAUGUAAGUGUGUAGUAUUUCAUUUCUAUACUUGAACCUUGUUUAUGGAAGUAUACAUUGUUAAAGUUUGGAUUGAAA